RNA transcript from Periophthalmus magnuspinnatus, 1342 nucleotides. It is a transcript of the gene named bifunctional protein GlmU-like, with no coding region annotated. The transcript is spliced from 3 exons. The record is from RefSeq and is a predicted model, not a curated record. Lineage: Eukaryota; Metazoa; Chordata; Actinopteri; Gobiiformes; Gobiidae.
CCGGGACUAAACCAGGUCUAAACCAGGUCUAAACCAGGACUCUUUCUGUUUGUUGACACUGGUGCUACAGUCUGCUGCUCUCAGGUCACGCAAGGCUUGUCCCUCCUCUCUUCGGGUCUAUGCCUUCCGGGUUGGUCCUGGUUCAGAACUGCUCUCAUCUCUUCGGGACUUUGUGGAUCAUAAUAGACUUAGAGCUCCGUUUGUCCUCACCUGUGUGGGCAGCUUGACCUCAGCACGACUGCGGCUCGCCAAUGCUACGGCAACAAACACCAACCAGGUUUUGGAUCUGAGCGGUCGGUUCGAGAUUGUGUCGUUGGUGGGGACUCUGAACCCCGAGGCUCACCUGCACCUCUGCCUGUCGGACAGCAGGGGGUGCACUGUGGGGGGGCAUGUCCUGGGGAACCUGCAGGUCUUCACCACAGCCGAGGUUCUGAUUGGAGAUGCCCAAGAGCUGAUCUUCACCAGAGACAUGGACCCUCAAACCGGCUUCCCCGAGCUUGUGGUGCAGGCCCGAGACCAGACCACAGACUAAAGACCAAACCAAAGAUCAGAGAAGAGGCUAGGUCAGAGAUCAGACUCGACCAGAGACUCGACCAGAGACUCGACCAGAGACUCGACCAGAGACUCGACCAGAGACUCGACCAGAGGCCAGACCAGAGGCCAGACCAGAGGCCAGACCAGAGGCCAGACCAGAGGCCAGACCAGAGGCCAGACCAGAGGCCAGACCAGAGGCCAGACCAGAGGCCAGACCAGAGGCCAGACCAGAGGCCAGACCAGAGGCCAGACCAGGGACUAGGACAAAACCAGGACUAGACCAGAGUGUAGCAUUAAAGCAGGACUAGACCAGAGUCUAGGACUAAACCAGGGCUAGACCAUAGACUAGGACUAAACCAGGACUAGACCAGAGUCUAGGACUAAACCAGGACUAGACCACAGACUAGGAAUAAACCAGGACUAGACCAGAGUCUAGGACUAAACCAGGACUAGACCAUAGACUAGGACUAAACCAGGACUAGACCAGAGUCUAGGACUAAACCAAGACUGGACCACAGACUAGGACUAAACCAGGACUAGACCACAGACUAGGACUAAACCAGGACUAGACCAGAGCCUAGUAGUAAACAGGACUGAAUUGAGAGGGACCAGCUUCCCAGAGUGUGAAGGACAAGGACUAGACUGAAAAUCCUGAUUAGACAAUGAAAAAGACUAAACUAACCUCCCAGUCCUAAGCUGAACACGGAUUGGACAGUGUCAACUUUGCCACCAAAAAUGUUUCUAUCAGAGCUUUUGUCAGUGUCAUAUUUUUGCUGACUUAAACAAAAUAAAAAGUAAUCAUAAUGAC